AUAAAAGUGUCCAGGGAUGGGAAUCGAACCCACAGUGUUCCACUUACCGGGCAGAUGUCAUGUCCACUAGACUACCCUUCA
Molecule: transfer RNA, 81 nt
Filed under: Cordylochernes scorpioides
Lineage: Eukaryota; Metazoa; Arthropoda; Arachnida; Pseudoscorpiones; Chernetidae
Description: tRNA-Thr
Source: RNAcentral